Molecule: ribosomal RNA, 469 nt
Filed under: uncultured bacterium
Lineage: Bacteria
Description: partial 16S ribosomal RNA
Rfam family: Bacterial small subunit ribosomal RNA
Source: RNAcentral
GACGAACGCUGGCGGCGUGCUUAACACAUGCAAGUCGAACGGAAAGGCCCUGCUUGCCGGGUGCUCGAGUGGCGAACGGGUGAGUAACACGUGGGUGAUCUGCCCCUUACUUUGGGAUAAGCCUGGGAAACUGGGUCUAAUACUGGAUAGGACCAUGCUGUAGGUGGUGUGGUGGAAAGAUUAGUUUCGGUAAGGGAUGAGCUCGCGGCCUAUCAGCUUGUUGGUGGGGUAAUGGCCUACCAAGGCGUCGACGGGUAGCCGGCCAGAGAGGGUGGACGGCCACAUUGGGACUGAGAUACGGCGCAGACGCCGACGGGAGGCAGCAGUGGGGAAUAGUGCGCAAUGGGCGCAAGCCUGAUGCAGCGACGCCGCGUGGGGGAUGAAGGCCUUCGGGUUGUAAACUCCUUUCAGCCAUGACGAAGCCCUUGUGGUGACGGUAGUGGUAGAAGAAGCACCGGCUAACUACGUG